UGUGAAGUAACAGAAAUGUUCCAAUUCCAGAGUUAGCAGCAAUGAAAUGUCUCUGAUCCAGCAACCUGCUGAGAGUGCUUAUUGAACUGGGUGCUGCUCUGCUUGAGGCACAAAAGUAUGAGUGAACAACUUGCUUUUUCCUUAGGUCUGGUUCAUAGAGCUUUCAUUUGUGUUGUCCAGGCCUAUGGACAUACUGGAGUACUUAUCCACUCCCCAUCUCUACAUGCUUGGAAGAUGAUAUGCAGCUUGUUCCUGUCCUGACCAAGGGAAUGCUUCUGCAUCCUUCAAGUCAAGUGCACCUGUGGUGUCAGUUCUGUGUCGAAAACACUGUGGUUAGGAAAGAGACUAAGCCAACUGGAAAAAAAAAUUGUAGGUGAAGUGGCGUAGGUACUUGCAGCAUGAAAGGAAGAUUCAAAGGAGAUGAAACAAGCAAGAAGCAAGGGAAAAAGACAACUGCCACCCAAAAUGUAGCAAUGGGGAAACCUUCUAUAUGGUUUAUCACUUUCCCAGAGGCUAAGAGCCAUGUGCAUACUGCAAAGAGCAAGAGGAGGAUUCUUGUCUCUCCAGCCAGCUGAUACUCAGGUUUUUCCUGGCUCACAGAGCAGCAUCUUGUAAUAUCAUAACAUCCUCUAUUUAGACAAAUGCAAGGAAGAACUCAGGUUGGUUGUUUAUUUAUGUUCUGAGCUGGGUUACUUUCAUACCACAUGGCUUUCCUUCACCAUAGGGGUGAAAGGGACUGACUCAUCUCAAAAUAAGCCAGAUUAAAUACUGGCAAAACUAGGAACAACUUUGAUUUUACUCGGCUACUGUAAAUGAUUACUUGACCUACUAAUUAUUUGAAAAAAUAUUUCAAGAAAAAAAGGCUUGACUUGGUUUCACAUUUUAAACUUGAACAGAACCAUGGAUCAGGCUACUGUCAUAACAAACAUGUUUUUAGUUUCCUUCUUUGUUUUGUUUUGUUUUAUUCAUAUUUCUCUGCAUUUGCUGAUUCCUGCCUUAACUGAAAUCUGCAUCAAAGUGUUCACUGAAUAAGUUUGGAUGUUACACUAGGUACUGGGAAAGCAAGCAACCUAACCAGUUGAUGAGAGGUUAACUAUCGUAAAGCAGUUCUGUUCCUAGUCUCAAGCCUGUGCCUUAUCUUGUAUGAACAGUGUUCAUAGAUG
This 1163-nucleotide long non-coding RNA is filed under the name Anas platyrhynchos platyrhynchos (common mallard). Its description in RNAcentral is "lncRNA (ENSAPLG00000027949.1)". The record is from RNAcentral. Lineage: Eukaryota; Metazoa; Chordata; Aves; Anseriformes; Anatidae.